UGGUGGCGCAUGCCUGUAAUCCCAGCUACUC
This 31-nucleotide non-coding RNA is filed under the name Homo sapiens (human). Lineage: Eukaryota; Metazoa; Chordata; Mammalia; Primates; Hominidae. The record is from RNAcentral.